RNAcentral lists this transfer RNA (63 nucleotides) under Janthinobacterium silvisoli. RNAcentral describes it as "tRNA-Ala". Lineage: Bacteria; Pseudomonadati; Pseudomonadota; Betaproteobacteria; Burkholderiales; Oxalobacteraceae. The record is from RNAcentral.
GGGAGUGUGGCUUAGCUGGGAGAGCGCUUGCAUGGCAUGCAAGAGGUCAGUGCUUAGCUCCCU